ACUCAAAUGAAUUGACGGGGGCCCGCACAAGCGGCGGAGCAUGUGGAUUAAUUCGAUGCAACGCGAAGAACCUUACCUGGGUUUGACAUAUAGAGGAUCGCCGGAGAGAUUCGGUUUGCCUUGUGCCUUCUAUACAGGUGGUGCAUGGCUGUCGUCAGCUCGUGUCGUGAGAUGUUGGGUUAAGUCCCGCAACGAGCGCAACCCUUGUCUCAUGUUGCCAGCACGUAAUGGUGGGGACUCGUGAGAGACUGCCGGGGUCAACUCGGAGGAAGGUGGGGAUGACGUCAAGUCAUCAUGCCCCUUAUGUCCAGGGCUUCACACAUGCUACAAUGGCGCGUACAGAGGGCUGCGAUACCGCGAGGUGGAGCGAAUCCCUUAAAGCGCGUCUCAGUUCGGAUUGGGGUCUGCAACUCGACCCCAUGAAGUCGGAGUCGCUAGUAAUCGCAGAUCAGCAACGCUGCGGUGAAUACGUUCCCGGGCCUUGUACACACCGCCCGU
This 498-nucleotide ribosomal RNA is filed under the name uncultured bacterium. RNAcentral describes it as "partial 16S ribosomal RNA". It matches the Rfam family "Bacterial small subunit ribosomal RNA", at positions 899 to 1397 of the family's 1533-position model. The record is from RNAcentral.